Long non-coding RNA from Frieseomelitta varia, 1081 nucleotides. RefSeq lists it as uncharacterized. The record is from RefSeq and is a predicted model, not a curated record. NCBI's taxonomy places the organism in Eukaryota, Metazoa, Arthropoda, Insecta, Hymenoptera, Apidae. The transcript has 3 exons.
CGUGUUGAUGAUCUCUAUAAGGUAAAUGAACUGAAGGUUUCAAAGCCUACAAUGUCAGAGCAUCGUAUAUUUGACAAUUAAUUUUCUAAAUAUAUUGAGCGUUGAAUCGUUGAAUAUGACUCGAAUCUUGUGAUAUAUAAUCAGUUAUAUAAAUUUAAUCCGACAACUUUAUCUUAUCCGAAGAUUCGUGCGCUAUCUGUUGAUGUUCAGCACAACUAGAAGAGCCAUCCAAACUGUUCCUUCUUAUUUAAUUAUGUUUCAAAAGGAAGAAAUAAUUAUUCCGGCGAUCUGAAAUACAAUUUAUUAUGUUGUAUUUAUGAGAUAUGCUUACUAUCAUUUAUUUAGUCUUGAUUAUUAGAAUGCUUACUAUCAUUUAUUUAUUUUUGAUUAUUAUUAAAAUGCGAAAUUCAUGAAAAAUUUAGAAUUUUAAAUGCACGCAUGUUAUAUAAGAGGUAUUUUAAUUAAACAAGCAUGUUUCAGAUAACUUUGAGCGAGAAAGAAAUUUUCUUUCCUCAUUAUCGUACUGCACGCGCGUUUCGUUCGCCAUUGUCAUAAUAAAUAAUGCAAAAAGAUACCAGUCCAUGUGCCUGAAUGCUAGGAUUAUUUUACGGUUCAUGAAGAUAAUUAAGGAUUUAAAAUAAGAUAAAAGAACUUGUAUAAUCAGGAAUUUAAUUCGUCGCGAAUGAAAGUUUAAUCAUCAUGGUAAAUAAAGAUUUGAUAGAUUCAAAAAUAAUUUUGCCAAAGCGGGAAAUAUUAUUUCACAGAUGGCGCCAAGAUUCUUAGUGUCACUUGGGCAUUUAAAUGGAACGUUACACUUUUUAUCUUGGAAGAGAUGAGCCGUAUGUGAUACGAGACCAAUGACCCAUGAACAGCAUCAUUCAAACUCAUCUGUAUAUCUUGUAAACCUUCACGAUAUAUGAACAUCUAAGAUACAAAUCAUUUCUAUAAUCAUAAUAUGCUCUGCAGCCUUGAACAACCUUGUAUGGAGGUUAAGUUCGUAAUUUGCAUUUUAAUAUUUCUUUAGAAUACUAUAUUAUAUGAUUUAUUCAUAUUUUUUUAAUAUAAUAUGCGACACUUUCAA